AGUGAACGCUGGCGGUAGGCCUAACACAUGCAAGUCGAACGGCAGCACAGUAAGAGCUUGCUCUUACGGGUGGCGAGUGGCGGACGGGUGCGGAAUACAUCGGAAUCUACUUUUUCUUGGGGGAUAACGUAGGGAAACUUACGCUAAUACCGCAUACGACCUACGGGUGAAAGCAGGGGAUCUUCGGACCUUGCGCGAUUGAAUGAGCCGAUGUCGGAUUAGCUAGUUGGCGGGGUAAAGGCCCACCAAGGCGACGAUCCGUAGCUGGUCUGAGAGGAUGAUCAGCCACACUGGAACUGAGACACGGUCCAGACUCCUACGGGAGGCAGCAGUGGGGAAUAUUGGACAAUGGGCGCAAGCCUGAUCCAGCCAUACCGCGUGGGUGAAGAAGGCCUUCGGGUUGUAAAGCCCUUUUGUUGGGAAAGAAAAGCAGCAGGUUAAUACCCCGCUGUUCUGACGGUACCCAAAGAAUAAGCACCGGCUAACUUCGUG
RNAcentral lists this ribosomal RNA (492 nucleotides) under uncultured bacterium. RNAcentral describes it as "partial 16S ribosomal RNA". It matches the Rfam family "Bacterial small subunit ribosomal RNA", at positions 29 to 507 of the family's 1533-position model. The record is from RNAcentral.